Molecule: ribosomal RNA, 482 nt
Filed under: uncultured bacterium
Lineage: Bacteria
Description: partial 16S ribosomal RNA
Rfam family: Bacterial small subunit ribosomal RNA
Source: RNAcentral
GAUGAACGCUGGCGGCGUGCUUAACACAUGCAAGUCGAACGGUGAAGGAGAGCUUGCUCUCCGGAUCAGUGGCGAACGGGUGAGUAACACGUGAGCAAUCUGCCCCUGACUCUGGGAUAAGCGCUGGAAACGGCGUCUAAUACCGGAUACGAGCUGCGAAGGCAUCUUCAGCAGCUGGAAAGAACUUCGGUCAGGGAUGAGCUCGCGGCCUAUCAGCUAGUUGGUGAGGUCAUGGCUCACCAAGGCGUCGACGAGUAGCCGGCCUGAGAGGGUGACCGGCCACACUGGGACUGGGACACGGCCCAGACUCCUACGGGAGGCAGCAGUGGGGAAUAUUGCACAAUGGGCGCAAGCCGGAUGCAGCAACGCCGCGUGAGGGACGACGGCCUUCGGGUUGUAAACCUCUUUUAGCAGGGAAGAAGCGAAAGUGACGGUACCUGCAGAAAAAGCACCGGCUAACUACGUGCCAGCCGCCGCAGUAA